GACAGAGGUGCCAAGCGUUAGGCGGAAUCACUGGGCUUAAAGCGUGUGUAGGCGGAUGUCUAAGUACCUUGUGAAAUCCCACGGCUCAACCGUGGAACUGCUUGGUAUACUGGAUGUCUUGAGCCAUCUAGGGGCUACCGGAACAAAUGGUGGAGCGGUGAAAUGCGUAGAUAUCAUUUGGAACGCCAAUGGUGAAAACAGGUAGCUGGGGAUGUGCUGACGCUGAGACACGAAGGCCAGGGGAGCAAACGGG
Molecule: ribosomal RNA, 253 nt
Filed under: uncultured bacterium
Lineage: Bacteria
Description: partial 16S ribosomal RNA
Rfam family: Bacterial small subunit ribosomal RNA
Source: RNAcentral